GCAUUGGUGGUUCAGUGGUAGAAUUCUUGCUUUUCAUGUGGAAAACUCAGGCUUGAUUCCUGGCCAAUGUA
RNAcentral lists this transfer RNA (71 nucleotides) under Loxodonta africana (African savanna elephant). It matches the Rfam family "tRNA". Rfam says of the family: Transfer RNA (tRNA) molecules are approximately 80 nucleotides in length. Lineage: Eukaryota; Metazoa; Chordata; Mammalia; Proboscidea; Elephantidae. The record is from Rfam by way of RNAcentral.